AAUUUUUUUGCAUCGAAAAUUCAGAGAAUUUAAGCUAUUUGCCGAUGCUUUAAACUUUUAACUUUAUGUGAAAAGCAAACGAGUAUAAAAGUGGUAGCAAAACGUUUCUUUGUUCAUUAAAGGUACAUUGUAAAAUUUACUGAAGAAAAAGAAAGUGAGAAUGUUGAUAUUAGUAACGU
This 179-nucleotide ribosomal RNA is filed under the name Hemiselmis andersenii. Its description in RNAcentral is "partial Bacterial large subunit ribosomal RNA". Lineage: Eukaryota; Cryptophyceae; Cryptomonadales; Hemiselmidaceae. The record is from RNAcentral.